UUAUCUGUCUGACAAUUACAGGCUGUGUCCCAAUUCCUAGGACGCAUCCUUCGAAGGCUGCAUUCGAAGGAUGCGUCGACGCCGAUUGCGUCACAGCGACGCGCCAAGUGCUGUCCCAAUUCCAAGGGUCCUUCAAAUGCGGCCUACGAAUGCAGCCUUCUUUUCCCGGAUUUGAAGGAUGCAUCGGCUGUAUCCUUCACGGCCCAACGUAUCCCAAGAUCCUUCACGGCCCAACGUAUCCCUCCCAAGAUUCAUUGCGCACUCAAUCAAUGGAGUUGGCGGAGAAUGGCGAUUUAAGUUUUGCAUUUAAAUGGAGCCAGCAGCAUACUGCUCGAUUUAUUCUAUAGAGGGGGGAGAACGAUGAGCUGUUCACCGGGGUGAAAUACUCAGCAAGUGUGGCUUGGGGGACAAUUCUGGAGAAAAUAGGCCUGCAGGGGAAGGUGACUCCCCUGCAGGCAAAGAAAAAAUGGGACAAUUUAAAAAAAUAUAUAAAGUUUGUACAUGUCAUUUUAAAUAUACAUUAUUUGUUUUAACCAUGCAAGUUAACCAUGCUGAAAUUUGUUUUAAUACUGCUGUUGUUAACAGCCAUGAUUGAUUUCCUCUGCCUUAGGAUUGCAAGUAUCCAGGGUCAGGAGAGGGGGUAGGUGGGAAACCCACUGCUGCAACUUGGCCCUGGUUGGUCCUCAUGGAUGAGGUAUUGGGACAGAGGCAUUCCACCAACCCCCCUGUCCUAAUUGCCUCCAUCCCUGAGAACACACCAGGGCCAAGUACAGCAAGUACAGCAGUGGUGGAUCAGGAGGUGGAGGACAAGGAUCAGGAGGAGGAAAGACAGCGAGGGCAGAGGUCCAGAAAGAGGGACAGAGAGGAAGACAUGUUCCAGAGUCGCUCACUAUCUUCCGAAAAGGACUCAAGACUCACCUGUUCAGAGUCCACCUCGACUCUGCAUAGCCACCCUCCCCCUUCUGGCCACCAAUGUACACUGUGUUGGAUUGUAUUGUAUUGUAUUGUAUUAUAGACAGUACUUAACUGUGUAACAACUGCAGUAGCUGCUAUCAUGGCUGUAACACAGGGAAUUGAUUAGCCGAUUGUGGUACUUGCACUUGGUUCUAUGAACAUCCUUUCUGUACCGACAGCGAUAUAUUGAUGCACUUCUUAUGACAAAUGUACUUAUUGUAAGUCGCUUUGGAUAAAAGCGUCUGCUAAAUGCCCUAAAUUUAAAUGUAAAAUGUAAAUGUUCCAGUUAAUAAAAGAGGACAUGAGGCUACAAAGGGAGGCAGAGGAGAGAAGAGCCCAGGAGAGAAGGGAAAGAAUGGAUAGGUUUUUCUCAAUUUGAGCGUUUGGUGGACAAAUAACUUAUGUUCUGUUAUAUUUAACACAUUGUUUAUUAUUUACAUAUUUAUUGAAACUAACUUAUUUAACUAACUAUUUAACUAACUUUUUUGAUUAACUAUUUAUUAAAACCCUAACUAACUUUUUUGUAUUGACUAAUGUAUUCGUAUAUAACUUAUAAAACAUAUAUACAACAAUAAAACUAUUUACAACAAAAAACAUUCAUGUGACUA
Long non-coding RNA from Gadus macrocephalus (Pacific cod), 1562 nucleotides. RefSeq lists it as uncharacterized. The transcript is spliced from 3 exons. The record is from RefSeq and is a predicted model, not a curated record. NCBI's taxonomy places the organism in Eukaryota, Metazoa, Chordata, Actinopteri, Gadiformes, Gadidae.